AAUUAAACAUUUGUUUUUCAUUACAAAUUUUAUGUAUUACCUUUUGUAGUUGUUUCUUUAUCAUAUGGUACUAAAAUCAUUCAAAACAAUCAAUUUGUGUUGGCCACAGAUGACUUUUAAAAUGUAUACAUCAUUGAAAAAGUUCCAAAUUAUCUCCCUUUGGUGGAAAAAUGCCAUUUUUUGGCUUUAAAAUUGAAAUAUCUUUUUUAACUCAUCGGUGACCUGUAUUUUUUAAUAUAAUUUCCAUAUAAGCUGUACUUAAGCUAAAUUAUUGUAAAAUUUGAGCGAGUUCUGUAAUAAAUUUACUUUUUUUAUUUCGAUACUACCUUUAUUUCUCCUAUUACUUAAACAGAAAAAAAACACCUUUACAAAAAUGUUUGCUUCUUUCGAAGGCAGAUUGUGAGCGCAAAUGAACGGUGACCCCACUUUUUUAUUUAAUUUUUCUAUUAACUAUAAGAUAAAGUUCAUUUAUAGAAAAAUAUAGAGAAAUCCUAUAUAAAUGAUUUAGACCCGCGAACCCCCUUAAUA
RNAcentral lists this long non-coding RNA (528 nucleotides) under Mytilus galloprovincialis (Mediterranean mussel). The record is from RNAcentral. Lineage: Eukaryota; Metazoa; Mollusca; Bivalvia; Mytilida; Mytilidae.